Molecule: ribosomal RNA, 394 nt
Filed under: uncultured bacterium
Lineage: Bacteria
Description: partial 16S ribosomal RNA
Rfam family: Bacterial small subunit ribosomal RNA
Source: RNAcentral
AUACGGAGGAUGCAAGCGUUAUCCGGAUUUAUUGGGUUUAAAGGGUGCGUAGGCGGAUGAUUAAGCGUGAGGUGAAAUGCCACUGCUCAACAGUGGAACUGCCUCGCGAACUGGUUGUCUUGAAUGCUCCUGCCGUGGGAGGAAUGUGUGGUGUAGCGGUGAAAUGCAUAGAGAUCACACAGAACACCGAUUGCGAAGGCAUCUCACGAAGGGGUGAUUGACGCUGAGGCACGAAAGCGUGGGGAUCAAACAGGAUUAGAUUCCCUGGUAGUCCACGCAGUAAACGAUGAUAACUAACCGCUGGGUCGUAGUGAUUCAGUGGCCAAGCGAAAGCGAUAAGUUAUCCACCUGGGGAGUACGACCGCAAGGUUGAAACUCAAAGGAAUUGACGGGG